UCCCUGGUGGCUCAGACAGUAAAGAAUCUGCCUGCAAUGCAGGAGAUCCAGGUUCGAUUCCUGGGUUGGAAA
RNAcentral lists this transfer RNA (72 nucleotides) under Bos taurus (domestic cattle). It matches the Rfam family "tRNA". Rfam says of the family: Transfer RNA (tRNA) molecules are approximately 80 nucleotides in length. Their secondary structure includes four short double-helical elements and three loops (D, anti-codon, and T loops). Lineage: Eukaryota; Metazoa; Chordata; Mammalia; Artiodactyla; Bovidae. RNAcentral also lists the same sequence under 5 other names. The record is from Rfam by way of RNAcentral.